UGGGUUUAUAUGAACAUCAAGGUUAUGUAAUGUAUGUAAUAUAGGCUGUUUUCUGUAUGACAGUCCGUAUUUGCAUGUCCAUACCAUACAUUGGUCCGGCAAUUAUUGUAAUGUUUUUUUCCAACUUUUUAUCGCACGAACUUUGUGAUUGGAUUUUACGAAAAAAAUGAGGCGAAAGACACCCAUUUUUUAUUUGAUCAUUAGGAAGAUUUAAGAAAACAGUUUCUAAAAAGGUAUCACUCAAAGGCAUUGAAAUUCUAGUUUGAUCCAAAUUUUGGGGGGAUAUAUGACAUGUUCACCCCCCUUUUUGCAAUAUUUUAUGGUAAAUAAAUGCUGAAUGUUGCCAUGGAUACACAUAAAAGGAAUUAAUUUUCACCCUUUUAACUUUGGAAAAUUGAAUCUAUGGAAGAUACUGAUUACAUACAUAUGCACAUGUACAACACAAACAGUUAGGUUAAUGUAUUAGAAAUCCAGGAAUAGGAGAUGAUAAAACAUUUUGGGGCUCAUUUUAAAUUUUAUUUUCUAACUGUGGAGUGCUACCU
This 542-nucleotide long non-coding RNA is filed under the name Mytilus galloprovincialis (Mediterranean mussel). Lineage: Eukaryota; Metazoa; Mollusca; Bivalvia; Mytilida; Mytilidae. The record is from RNAcentral.